RNAcentral lists this ribosomal RNA (497 nucleotides) under uncultured bacterium. RNAcentral describes it as "partial 16S ribosomal RNA". It matches the Rfam family "Bacterial small subunit ribosomal RNA", at positions 28 to 507 of the family's 1533-position model. The record is from RNAcentral.
GAUGAACGCUGGCGGCGUGCCUAAUACAUGCAAGUCGAGCGAACAGACGAGGAGCUUGCUCCUCUGACGUUAGCGGCGGACGGGUGAGUAACACGUGGAUAACCUACCUAUAAGACUGGGAUAACUUCGGGAAACCGGAGCUAAUACCGGAUAAUAUAUUGAACCGCAUGGUUCAAUAGUGAAAGACGGUUUUGCUGUCACUUAUAGAUGGAUCCGCGCCGCAUUAGCUAGUUGGUAAGGUAACGGCUUACCAAGGCGACGCUGCGUAGCCGACCUGAGAGGGUGAUCGGCCACACUGGAACUGAGACACGGUCCAGACUCCUACGGGAGGCAGCAGUAGGGAAUCUUCCGCAAAGGGCGAAAGCCUGACGGAGCAACGCCGCGUGAGUGAUGAAGGUCUUCGGAUCGUAAAACUCUGUUAUUAGGGAAGAACAAAUGUGUAAGUAACUAUGCACGUCUUGACGGUACCUAAUCAGAAAGCCACGGCUAACUACGUG